AGUGCUGGGCCGGGUCUGGCCGUCCUGCUUUUCUCAAGGGAAGUGGUGAAGGUCCUGGGUCGUGACAUGCCCGGGGAGCCUCGGCAGGGCAGCUCCAGGCGGGAGGUGUCCUUGGUCACAGCAGCUUCUGUGACCAAAUACUCUGGAGCAGCCCAAGAGCUGGAUGGGAGAGUGAACCCUGAGAAAAGGACCUGGGACAGAACAAGCAUCUAAGUCAUUGGAGGAGCUGUGGGCAGAAAUGGAGAGCUGGUGGCAGAGUGUCCUAAGAGAUGUAUUUGGGAUAAGUAGUUGCUAUGGUUGGUCUGAAGCUGGCCGGUGUGGCCAUAGACGAAUUCCAUGAGCAUAGAGAAAGAAAAAGGGAAGCCAAGGCCUCAAAGGCCCAGGAAUCUUUGAUGAAGGAGGACUUCCAGGAGCUCAUCCAACAAGUGAAAGCUAUGCGUGAAGAUCUCUAGAAAGGGCAGGAAUCCAACAGGAAAACGAAGAAAAUGGCGAAGGCCCAGAAAUCCAAGAUGGACAAGGAAUUCCACCAGCUCCGCCAAAGAAUUCAAACUCUGGAACAAGAACUACACGAUAGGCAGGGGUCCAAACAGCACAUCCUUCAGCUCUUCAGAGCAGAAAUGGAGAUGGAACAUGGUGUGCCGAUAGAAAGUGCAUCAGAAGACGAGGGCACUGACACAGAUGCAUAGACAUCUCCUGAGCAGGUGAAGCAUUGAUCAACAAAAUUAAAGUCUGGCUCUCAUUACAUUUCUCUUGAGCUUGGCCCCCCACCCCCUGCACUCCCUGGGCUCUCUGUGUCGGGAAGUGCUCGUGCUGCUGGAAGACUGAGACAAUUUUAAGGCUUUUCUCCCUCCUGUGAGCUGGUUCCUGCUGUGCCAGGGCAGAUCCAUCCACUGCCCAGUUUCAACAAGUGAAGGCAACAGCAGCCAAAGUGCAACUGAAUUACCCAGCGAGCUCUACACAAAGUCUCAGGGCAGAGUCCUGGAAAUCGUGGAUUUUAAGUGAAUGAGCCUUUCCAGCAGCAGCAGCACAGCUGGGCCCUGGGUUCAGAACCAGAGCCUCGAUCCCACUGUGGUUUCUGCACUCCAGCAGAGCUCUGCCCUUCCUGUGUGCCAGGAAUUUGGAGGCUGCUGCUGUUCUUUCCAAAUGUGUUGAUGUUGAUGAAGUCCUCCAGGACAGGGGAGGGAUGAUGAGCUUCUCCAGCUGUUCUUCACACAGACAGUCCAUGGGUGAGGGUCAAUGAGAUGGCUGGAAUGGAGCUUGAGGCCGGAAUACUUUUAACGCAGCUCAGACAGGAAACCAAGGCCAAGCCUGAGCUGACAUGGAAGUUCUGGAAUGUAGAUGGAGCUCCUGAAGCCCAACUGGAGUUUCAGGGUAUCUGGAUGGAGCUGAGCUCCCAGUUGCCCUGUGAGGGUGAGUAACGGGGUGGCCGACAGCACAAUCUACUGGGUGCAAGAGCUGAGAGCAUCAAAAGAGGGAAAAUUGUUCCCACUCUUUUUUUUGUUGUUGUUUCAAGUGAGGGAAAUAGUUCAAAAUUGCCUUUGGAUAACACCUGAA
Pipra filicauda (Wire-tailed manakin) is the source of this 1554-nucleotide long non-coding RNA. RefSeq lists it as uncharacterized. The transcript is spliced from 8 exons. The record is from RefSeq and is a predicted model, not a curated record. NCBI's taxonomy places the organism in Eukaryota, Metazoa, Chordata, Aves, Passeriformes, Pipridae.